UUUAAGUGCAACCAUAAGUUUCCGCGCCCAAUUUUGAUCGUUCGUCUUAUUUGAAAAUUUUUUAUAAUUAGUAUUUUUGUUGUUAUGAGAGGAUAAAAUAUGAAUAGCACUUUACUCGUGAUUAUGUCUUUAAGUUUUUUUAAUAAGAUGGACGAUUAAAGUUGGGUACGAAAAACUAUGGCUACACUUAGA
Oryza glaberrima (African rice) is the source of this 192-nucleotide non-coding RNA. Lineage: Eukaryota; Viridiplantae; Streptophyta; Magnoliopsida; Poales; Poaceae. The record is from Rfam.